GUAGGUGGCAAGCGUUGUCCGGAAUUAUUGGGCGUAAAGCGCGCGCAGGCGGUCCUUUAAGUCUGAUGUGAAAGCCCACGGCUCAACCGUGGAGGGUCAUUGGAAACUGGGGGACUUGAGUACAGAAGAGGAAAGCGGAAUUCCAAGUGUAGCGGUGAAAUGCGUAGAGAUUUGGAGGAACACCAGUGGCGAAGGCGGCUUUCUGGUCUGUAACUGGCGCUGAGGCGCGAAAGCGUGGGGAGCAAACAGGGAUUAGAUACCCUGGUAGUCCACGCCGUAAACGAUGAGUGCUAAGUGUUAGGGGGGUUUCCGCCCCCUUAGUGCUGCAGCUAACGCAUUAAGCACUCCGCCUGGGGAGUACGGCCGCAAGGCUG
RNAcentral lists this ribosomal RNA (374 nucleotides) under uncultured organism. RNAcentral describes it as "partial 16S ribosomal RNA". It matches the Rfam family "Bacterial small subunit ribosomal RNA", at positions 527 to 896 of the family's 1533-position model. The record is from RNAcentral.